GUAUAACAAGACCCAGGAAAGCUGAUGCUGAUGUGAUCUUCCCCUGUUCUGAUUAAGUCUGGCGAUCGACUCUCUCGUCUCUUGGAGUGGAAAUAUGCUUGCAAGUGCUACAGUUUGACUGGGGAAGCACGCAUGUUAUAGUCACACACCUGCAGUGUAGUACGUUGAAACUUAGUCCUAUACACAUGUAUUUGCAAGAGUAUAUGCGAUCACGGAAUGUAGCAUUACCUGUUAGAUGAACCCUGGAGUAUUGCCUGUCAUUCUGUCAAACCACAAUGAUCCGAAUCAUGAAGAAUGCAGAUAUCCUUGUCAUGCCGCCAUCCGUCAUCCGAAGCUUUUUAUUUGGGGAAAGCUAAAUGGUAAUGGAGCAUUUUCUUUGCCCCUCACACCCGAAAUUUUCUUCUUGCUUAUCUGACCCAUCCAAGGCUUCUUCCUCCUCCUCUCAUCUCCUCCAUCUCCGGCGA
This 464-nucleotide long non-coding RNA is filed under the name Setaria italica (foxtail millet). Its description in RNAcentral is "long non-coding RNA (SITA_LNC004179)". The record is from RNAcentral. Lineage: Eukaryota; Viridiplantae; Streptophyta; Magnoliopsida; Poales; Poaceae.